AUUGAACGCUGGCGGCAGGCCUAACACAUGCAAGUCGAGCGGAUGAAGGGAGCUUGCUCCUGGAUUCAGCGGCGGACGGGUGAGUAAUGCCUAGGAAUCUGCCUGGUAGUGGGGGAUAACGUCCGGAAACGGGCGCUAAUACCGCAUACGUCCUGAGGGAGAAAGUGGGGGAUCUUCGGACCUCACGCUAUCAGAUGAGCCUAGGUCGGAUUAGCUAGUUGGUGGGGUAAAGGCCUACCAAGGCGACGAUCCGUAACUGGUCUGAGAGGAUGAUCAGUCACACUGGAGCUGUGACACGGUCCAGACUCCUACGGGAGGCAGCAGUGGGGAAUAUUGGACAAUGGGCGAAAGCCUGAUCCAGCCAUGCCGCGUGUGUGAAGAAGGUCUUCGGAUUGUAAAGCACUUUAAGUUGGGAGGAAGGGCAGUAAGUUAAUACCUUGCUGUUUUGACGUUACCAACAGAAUAAGCACCGGCUAACUUCGUG
This 484-nucleotide ribosomal RNA is filed under the name uncultured bacterium. RNAcentral describes it as "partial 16S ribosomal RNA". It matches the Rfam family "Bacterial small subunit ribosomal RNA", at positions 30 to 507 of the family's 1533-position model. The record is from RNAcentral.